This 250-nucleotide ribosomal RNA is filed under the name uncultured bacterium. RNAcentral describes it as "partial 16S ribosomal RNA". It matches the Rfam family "Bacterial small subunit ribosomal RNA", at positions 810 to 1058 of the family's 1533-position model. The record is from RNAcentral.
UGGAUACUAGGUGUGGGAGGUAUCGACCCCUACCGUGCCGGAGUUAACGCAAUAAGUAUCCCGCCUGGGGAGUACGGUCGCAAGACUGAAACUCAAAGGAAUUGACGGGGACCCGCACAAGCGGUGGAGUAUGUGGUUUAAUUCGAAGCAACGCGAAGAACCUUACCAGGUCUUGACAUUGAUUGACAGGGAUAGAGAUAUCCUAUUCUCUUUGGAGACAAGAAAACAGGUGGUGCAUGGCUGUCGUCAG